GAUGAACGCUAGCUACAGGCUUAACACAUGCAAGUCGCGGGGCAGCAUGGGGGUUGCUUGCAAUCCCCGAUGGCGACCGGCGCACGGGUGAGUAACGCGUAUCCAACCUGCCCUUCACCACGGGAUAACCCGGCGAAAGUCGGACUAAUACCGUAUGUUGUCCAUUGACGGCAUCCGAUUUGGACGAAAGGUUUGGCGGUGAAGGAUGGGGAUGCGUCCGAUUAGCUGGACGGCGGGGUGACGGCCCACCGUGGCGACGAUCGGUAGGGGUUCUGAGAGGAAGGUCCCCCGCACUGGAACUGAGACACGGUCCAGACUCCUACGGGAGGCAGCAGUGAGGAAUAUUGGUCAAUGGGCGUAAGCCUGAACCAGCCAAGUAGCGUGCAGGAUGACGGCCCUAUGGGUUGUAAACUGCUUUUAUGCGGGGAUAAAGUGGCCCACGUGUGGGUUUUUGCAGGUACCGCAUGAAUAAGGACCGGCUAAUUCCGU
This 489-nucleotide ribosomal RNA is filed under the name uncultured bacterium. Its description in RNAcentral is "partial 16S ribosomal RNA". It matches the Rfam family "Bacterial small subunit ribosomal RNA", at positions 28 to 506 of the family's 1533-position model. The record is from RNAcentral.